Molecule: ribosomal RNA, 253 nt
Filed under: uncultured bacterium
Lineage: Bacteria
Description: partial 16S ribosomal RNA
Rfam family: Bacterial small subunit ribosomal RNA
Source: RNAcentral
UACGUAUGGGGCAAGCGUUAUCCGGAUUUACUGGGUGUAAAGGGAGCGUAGGCGGCGGGGCAAGCCUGAUGUGAAAGCCAGGGGCUCAACCCCGGGACUGCAUUGGGAACUGCCCUGCUGGAGUGCCGGAGGGGCAGGCGGAAUUCCUAGUGUAGCGGUGAAAUGCGUAGAUAUUAGGAGGAACACCAGUGGCGAAGGCGGCCUGCUGGACGGUGACUGACGCUGAGGCUCGAAAGCGUGGGGAGCAAACAGG